RNAcentral lists this long non-coding RNA (1331 nucleotides) under Gossypium barbadense (sea-island cotton). RNAcentral's name for it is "long non-coding RNA (GBAR_LNC018995)". Lineage: Eukaryota; Viridiplantae; Streptophyta; Magnoliopsida; Malvales; Malvaceae. The record is from RNAcentral.
UGAAAUGGCUUUUUAUGGAAAACGUCUUACCGAUUUUAUUUCGGUAAGACAUUUUCCAUUUUCCUCCACUCUAUCACAACAGUCGUUCUCCUUCCUCUUUGUCGAUCAGCCUCCGCCUCUCCUCCUCGUCUCUAUUCGUUGGCCUCACCUCCGAAUUUGAGUCUUAUUAUCUCGUCGUCCUUACCAAGUCUGCAUUUUGAAGAAACUCCAAAAUCUAGCUUUCCAAUCCUAUCAAGGUAUAUCACUAUAUUUUAUUUUGACUACUCUGUAAAUGAGCAUUUGGAAUUUCCUUCAUGGGGUUUAACUUGUUGCUUUUGUCAUUGUUGCUUUUCUCUUUGGCUAUUUCCCUGAUUAUUUUUGUUCUUCAAAGUUAUUGUAUUUUGGUUACUCUGUAAAUUCGUUGCUUUCUCCAUGGCCACAUGUGACGAGUUUCUCUUUUUCUCUUUCUAUGUGAUUUUUCAGGGUAAGCUGACCAAGAUUUUAAUUGGGGGUUUUGGUUGUUUUUCAAGCUUGGUUCUUGAAUUAGCUUUUUUUGGUAAUCUCUUGAAUUAGCUUUUGUGUGUAAGGGAAAGGGUAUUUGGUAUAUUUGGUUUUUGUUUUGUUAAAAGACUAGGAUUUUUUGGAAUUGGAAUUUGUUUCUUGAAUUGUUAAGAAUUGGGAUUCAAGACCGAUUGCCAUUUUGGGUUUUUAUUUAGUAUAUAUAUAUCGGAAAAUAUUUUUCAUUUUUUCAUUUGUUUAAUAGUCUGUUUCCAAUUAUUUUUUCAUUUUCCGUUUGUUUUAAACUCUAAAUGUUAACCUUUUGUUUUACCGGAGAAGAACAAUAAGAAUAUUUUGUUGUAAUGCAGCAUGUUUGACACUAUAAAAUGCUAGUUCGUCUAUCAUUUUCUAUUGUCUGAAGUCUGAACUUUUGGGGUAAAUGUGAAGAUUCUAACUGUGUAAAGUUUCAUGUCUCUUGAAGCGCCAUUGGCUCGCAUGCAUCUUGUGAUGUAUGCACUGUUGUAAGGCUUGAGUUAGCAUCUUCCAUCCUUUGCAGGCAAUAGAAGUUUGUUUAUACUAUACUGCAGUGAGAAGAAACCUGUAUAUUUUUGCCUUUGUACUUCGAUUCAGACAUGCACACUCCGACUUGUUUGAUACUUUCUAAUUAUGCUACCGUGUUAUAGACCAAUAAAGCUGUAAAUUUGCUUUUAGUAAUGUAAUGUAUCUAUGCAUGCAUGACAUGAUGCAAACCUUGUAGGGCCACUACAUUUUUUGUGCAUAUUAUGAUCUUUAAGCCUGAUGCUUUGCACUCUUUGCUUUGAGAUGUAAGCCAUAAAUUAGAUGUUGGAAAUGCU